GAUGAACGCUGGCGGCGUGCCUAAUACAUGCAAGUCGAGCGAACAGACGAGGAGCUUGCUCCUCUGACGUUAGCGGCGGACGGGUGAGUAACACGUGGAUAACCUACCUAUAAGACUGGGAUAACUUCGGGAAACCGGAGCUAAUACCGGAUAAUAUAUUGAACCGCAUGGUUCAAUAGUGAAAGACGGUUUUGCUGUCACUUAUAGAUGGAUCCGCGCCGCAUUAGCUAGUUGGUAAGGUAACGGCUUACCAAGGCAACGAUGCGUAGCCGACCUGAGAGGGUGAUCGGCCACACUGGAACUGUGACACGGUCCAGACUCCUACGGGAGGCAGCAGUAGGGAAUCUUCCGCAAUGGGCGAAAGCCUGACGGAGCAACGCCGCGUGAGUGAUGAAGGUCUUCGGAUCGUAAAACUCUGUUAUUAGGGAAGAACAAAUAUGUAAGUAACUAUGCACGUCUUGACGGUACCUAAUCAGAAAGCCACGGCUAACUACGUG
Molecule: ribosomal RNA, 497 nt
Filed under: uncultured bacterium
Lineage: Bacteria
Description: partial 16S ribosomal RNA
Rfam family: Bacterial small subunit ribosomal RNA
Source: RNAcentral